UACGUAGGGACCUAGCGUUGUCCGGAAUCAUUGGGCGUAAAGCGCGCGUAGGCGGCCCGGUAAGUCCGUUGUAAAAGUCAAAGGCUCAACCUUUGAAAGCCGAUGGAUACUGCCGGGCUAGAGUACGGAAGAGGCGAGUAGAAUUCCCGGUGUAGCGGUGAAAUGCGCAGAUAUCGGGAGGAACACCCGUAGCGAAGGCGGCACUCUGGGCCGGAACUGACGCUGAGGAGCGAAAGCGUGGGGAGCAAACAGG
This 253-nucleotide ribosomal RNA is filed under the name uncultured bacterium. RNAcentral's name for it is "partial 16S ribosomal RNA". It matches the Rfam family "Bacterial small subunit ribosomal RNA", at positions 524 to 776 of the family's 1533-position model. The record is from RNAcentral.